Molecule: RNase P RNA, 335 nt
Filed under: Anaerolineaceae bacterium
Lineage: Bacteria; Bacillati; Chloroflexota; Anaerolineae; Anaerolineales; Anaerolineaceae
Description: RNase P RNA component class A
Rfam family: Bacterial RNase P class A
About the family: Ribonuclease P (RNase P) is a ubiquitous endoribonuclease, found in archaea, bacteria and eukarya as well as chloroplasts and mitochondria. Its best characterised activity is the generation of mature 5'-ends of tRNAs by cleaving the 5'-leader elements of precursor-tRNAs.
Source: RNAcentral
CAGGUCAGUCAGGUGCGCGCGCUUGUAAAAGUGAGGAAAGUCCGUACACCACAGAGCAGAAUGCCAGGUAAUCCCUGGGAGGGCGUAAGCUUUCGGAUCGGGCCACAGAAACAAACCGCUCGCAAGAGUAAGGUUGAAAAGGUGGUGUAAGAGACCACCGCAAUGCCGGUAACGGUUUUUGGCAAGGUAACCCCCAUUCGGUGCAAGGUCAAACAGGAAAAAGAGCCUGCUCGGCUCGUCUGAUUUCCGGGUAGACCGCAUGAGGUGGCUGGUGACAGUCAUUCGAGAUAGAUGCGCAUCCGCGACAAAAUACGGCUUAUCGGUUGACCUGAGUU